AACGUUUGGCCCAGUGAACCCAACCCAACCCCAAGGGGUUGCGUGCUGGCGUGCACGGGUCAUUCUUCUGGAGAGCUGGCUUUCCUUGAUUGGUUGGCCAUGCGAUUCAGAUCCUUUACUGUGAGUAAAUCAAAGUGUUCAAAGCAGGCUUAAUGCUUGUAUGGUUCAGCAUGGAAUAAUAAGAUAAGACUUCGGUUUUAUGUUGUUGGCUGUAGAACCAAAGUAAUGAUUGAAAGGGAUAGUUGGGGGUGCUAGUAUUCAGUGGCUAGCGGUGAAAUGCGAGGACCCACUGAGGACUAACUUAUGCGAAAGCAUU
This 316-nucleotide ribosomal RNA is filed under the name uncultured Limnofilidae. RNAcentral's name for it is "SSU rRNA". The stretch from base 105 to 316 matches the Rfam family "Eukaryotic small subunit ribosomal RNA", at positions 741 to 955 of the family's 1831-position model. Lineage: Eukaryota; Cercozoa; Limnofilidae. The record is from RNAcentral.